This 527-nucleotide long non-coding RNA is filed under the name Homo sapiens (human). RNAcentral's name for it is "HSALNT0146972". Lineage: Eukaryota; Metazoa; Chordata; Mammalia; Primates; Hominidae. The record is from RNAcentral.
CUUUUUUGGAACUCAUGAGACGGGUCGAGGAAGGAUAAUCCACAGUCUUACGGAUACGGAGGCUCCUAGGUGGAAGAGACUUGCCUUGCCUCAGAUGAGACUUUGGACUUGGACUUUUGAGUUAAUGCUGGAAUGAGUUAAGACUUUGGGGGAUGGGGACUGUUGGAAGGGCAUGGUUGUGUUUUGAAAUGUGAGGACAUGAGAUUUGAGAGAGGGGGCAGGGGCAGAAUGAUAUGGUUUGGCUCUGUGUCCCCUCACAAAUCUCACCUUGAAUUCUAAUAAUCCCCAGGUGUUAAGGGCGGAACCAGGUGGAGGUAAUUGAAUGAUGGAGGUGGUUUCCCCCAUGUUGUUCUUGUGAUAGUGAGUUUCAUGAGACCUGAUGGUUUCAUAAGCGUCUGGCAUUUUCCCUGCUUGCAUGCAUUCUCUCCUGUGGCCCUGUGAAGAGGUGCCUUCUGCCAUGAUUGUAAGUUUCUUGGGGCCUCCCCAGCCGUGUGGAACUGUGAGUCAAUUAAACUUCUUUUCUUUAU